This 380-nucleotide ribosomal RNA is filed under the name uncultured soil bacterium. RNAcentral's name for it is "bacterial SSU rRNA". It matches the Rfam family "Bacterial small subunit ribosomal RNA", at positions 26 to 402 of the family's 1533-position model. The record is from RNAcentral.
AGAUUGAACGCUGGCGGCAGGCCUAACACAUGCAAGUCGAGCGGCAGCACGGGUACUUGUACCUGGUGGCGAGCGGCGGACGGGUGAGUAAUGCCUAGGAAUCUGCCUGGUAGUGGGGGAUAACGCUCGGAAACGGACGCUAAUACCGCAUACGUCCUACGGGAGAAAGCAGGGGACCUUCGGGCCUUGCGCUAGUCAGAUGAGCCUAGGUCGGAUUAGCUAGUUGGUGGGCAAGUGGCUCACCAAGGCGACGAUCCGUAACUGGUCUGAGAGGAUGAUCAGUCACACUGGAACUGAGACACGGUCCAGACUCCGUACGGGAGCAGCAGUGGGAAUAGUUGGACAAGUGGGACGAAAGCCUGAUCCGAGCCCAGUCGCCG